GAGUGAAAAAGAACCUGAAACCGUGUACGUACAAGCAGUGGGAGCACAGAGCAAUCUGUGUGACUGCGUACCUUUUGUAUAAUGGGUCAGCGACUUAUAUUCUGUAGCAAGGUUAACCGAAUAGGGGAGCCGAAGGGAAACCGAGUCUUAACUGGGCGUUAAGUUGCAGGGUAUAGACCCGAAACCCGGUGAUCUAGCCAUGGGCAGGUUGAAGGUUGGGUAACACUAACUGGAGGACCGAACCGACUAAUGUUGAAAAAUUAGCGGAUGACUUGUGGCUGGGGGUGAAAGGCCAAUCAAACCGGGAGAUAGCUGGUUCUCCCCGAAAGCUAUUUAGGUAGCGCCUCGUGAAUUCAUCUCCGGGGGUAGAGCACUGUUUCGGCAAGGGGGUCAUCCCGACUUACCAACCCGAUGCAAACUGCGAAUACCGGAGAAUGUUAUCACGGGAGACACACGGCGGGUGCUAACGUCCGUCGUGAAGAGGGAAACAACCCAGACCGCCAGCUAAGGUCCCAAAGUCAUGGUUAAGUGGGAAACGAUGUGGGAAGGCCCAGACAGCCAGGAUGUUGGCUUAGAAGCAGCCAUCAUUUAAAGAAAGCGUAAUAGCUCACUGGUCGAGUCGGCCUGCGCGGAAGAUGUAACGGGGCUAAACCAUG
This 656-nucleotide ribosomal RNA is filed under the name Escherichia coli. Its description in RNAcentral is "partial 23S ribosomal RNA". It matches the Rfam family "Bacterial large subunit ribosomal RNA", at positions 536 to 1191 of the family's 2925-position model. The record is from RNAcentral. Lineage: Bacteria; Pseudomonadati; Pseudomonadota; Gammaproteobacteria; Enterobacterales; Enterobacteriaceae.